GCUAGCGCGUGGGAGCGUGCGGUGGUAAUACGUAGGUGGGAUGCGUGUUCCGGGAUUAGUGGGCGUAAAGCUGGAGCAGGGUGUGUCUUAAGUCUGAUGUGAAAGCCCACGGCUCAACCGUGGAGGGGCAUUGGAAACUGGGAAACUUGAGUGCAGAAGAGGAGAGUGGAAUUCCACGUGUAGCGGUGAAAUGCGUAGAGAUGUGGAGGAACACCAGUGGCGAAGGCGACUCUCUGGUCUGUAACCGACGCUGAGGCGCGAAAGCGUGGGUAGCGAACAGGAUUAGAUACCCUAGUAGUC
RNAcentral lists this ribosomal RNA (300 nucleotides) under uncultured bacterium. RNAcentral describes it as "bacterial SSU rRNA". It matches the Rfam family "Bacterial small subunit ribosomal RNA", at positions 496 to 795 of the family's 1533-position model. The record is from RNAcentral.